AGUGAACGCUGGCGGCAGGCCUAACACAUGCAAGUCGAGCGGAAGAACGGUGCUUGCUUCUGGUUUCAGCGGGGGACGGGCGAGUGAUGCCUAGGAAUCUGCCUGGCUGUGGUGGAUAACGUCCUGAAACAGGCGCUAAUACCGCAAAAGCCCAGAGGGAGAAAGGGGGGGAUCUUCGGACCUUACGCUCUCAGAUGAGUGUAGGUCGGAUUAGCUAGUUGGUGGGGUAAAGGCCUACCAAGGCGACGAUCCGUAGCUGGUCUGAGAGGAUGAUCAGCCACACUGGAACUGAGACACGGUCCAGACUCCUACGGGAGGCAGCAGUGGGGAAUAUUGGACAAUGGGCGAAAGCCUGAUCCAGCCAUACCGCGUGUGUGAAGAAGGUCUUCGGAUUGUAAAGCACUUUUGGUGGGGAGGAAAAGCAGUAGGUUAAUACCUUGCUGUUUUGACGGUACCCACAGAAUAAGCACCGGCUAACUUCGUG
RNAcentral lists this ribosomal RNA (484 nucleotides) under uncultured bacterium. RNAcentral describes it as "partial 16S ribosomal RNA". It matches the Rfam family "Bacterial small subunit ribosomal RNA", at positions 29 to 507 of the family's 1533-position model. The record is from RNAcentral.